RNAcentral lists this ribosomal RNA (440 nucleotides) under uncultured bacterium. Its description in RNAcentral is "bacterial SSU rRNA". It matches the Rfam family "Bacterial small subunit ribosomal RNA", at positions 958 to 1398 of the family's 1533-position model. The record is from RNAcentral.
AACGCGAAGAACCUUACCUGGGCUCGAAAUGUAGAGGACGGUAUCAGAGAUGAUACUUCUCGAAAGGGUCUUUACAUAGGUGCUGCAUGGCUGUCGUCAGCUCGUGCCGUGAGGUGUUUGGUUAAGUCCAGCAACGAGCGCAACCCUUAUCGUUAGUUGCCAACGCGUGAAGGCGGGAACUCUAACGAGACUGCCUGGGUUAACCAGGAGGAAGGUGAGGAUGACGUCAAGUCCUCAUGGCCUUUAUGUCCAGGGCUACACACGUGCUACAAUGGCCGGUACAAACCGUCGCAAACCCGUGAGGGGGAGCUAAUCGGAAAAAGCCGGCCUCAGUUCGGAUUAGAGUCUGCAACUCGACUCUAUGAAGCUGGAAUCGCUAGUAAUCGCGGAUCAGAAUGCCGCGGUGAAUACGUUCCCGGGCCUUGUACACACCGCGCAUA